Molecule: ribosomal RNA, 782 nt
Filed under: uncultured Aquicella sp.
Lineage: Bacteria; Pseudomonadati; Pseudomonadota; Gammaproteobacteria; Legionellales; Coxiellaceae
Description: bacterial SSU rRNA
Rfam family: Bacterial small subunit ribosomal RNA
Source: RNAcentral
GGAUUUACUGGGCGUAAAGGGCGCGUAGGCGGUGAUGUGAGUGUGAUGUGAAAGCCCCGGGCUUAACCUGGGAAGUGCAUCGCAAACGACAUGACUGGAGUAGAUGAGAGGGUGGCGGAAUUUCCGGUGUAGCGGUGAAAUGCGUAGAGAUCGGAAGGAACGUCAAUGGCGAAGGCAGCCACCUGGCAUCAUACUGACGCUGAGGCGCGAAAGCGUGGGGAGCGAACAGGAUUAGAUACCCUGGUAGUCCACGCUGUAAACGAUGAGAACUAAAUGUUGGAGGGGGAACCCUUCAGUAUUGAAGCUAACGCGAUAAGUUCUCCGCCUGGGAAGUACAGUCGCAAGACUGAAACUCAAAAGAAUUGACGGGGGCCCGCACAAGCGGUGGAGCAUGUGGUUUAAUUCGAUGCAACGCGAAGAACCUUACCUACCCUUGACAUCCUGCGAAUCCCGAUGAGAGUUGGGAGUGCCGCAAGGAACGCAGAGACAGGUGCUGCAUGGCUGUCGUCAGCUCGUGUUGUGAGAUGUUGGGUUAAGUCCCGUAACGAGCGCAACCCUUGUCCUUAGUUGCCAUCAUUUAGUUGGGGACUCUAAGGAGACUGCCGGUGAUGAACCGGAGGAAGGCGGGGACGACGUCAAGUCAUCAUGGCCUUUAUGGGUAGGGCUACACACGUGCUACAAUGGGGCGUACAGAGGGUCGCCAACCCGCGAGGGGGAGCCAAUCUCUUAAAGCGUCUCGUAGUCCGGAUUGGAGUCUGCACUCGACUCCAUGAAGUCGGAAU